UACGGAAGGCAGCAGUGGGGAAUAUUGCACAAUGGGCGAAAGCCUGAUGCAGCUAUGCCGCGUGUAUGAAGAAGGCCUUAGGGUUGUAAAGUACUUUCAUCGGGGAGGAAAAAACAAAACUAAUAAUUUUAUUUCUUGACGUUACCCGAAAAAGAAGCACCGGCUAACUCCGUGCCAGCAGCCGCGGUAAUACGGAGGGUGCUAGCGUUAAUCAGAAUUACUGGGCGUAAAGAGCACGUAGGUGGUUUUUUUAAAGUCAGAUGUGAAAUCCCUGGGCUUAACCUAGGAACUGCAUUUUGAAACUGAAAUACUAGAGUAUCGUAGAGGGAGGUAGAAUUCUAGGUGUAGCGGUGAAAUGCGUAGAUAUCUGGAGGAAUACCUGUGGCGAAAGCGGCCUCUAAACGAAUACUGACACUGAGGUGCGAAAGCGUGGGGAGCAAACAGGGAUUAGAUACC
RNAcentral lists this ribosomal RNA (456 nucleotides) under uncultured bacterium. RNAcentral describes it as "bacterial SSU rRNA". It matches the Rfam family "Bacterial small subunit ribosomal RNA", at positions 340 to 786 of the family's 1533-position model. The record is from RNAcentral.